Molecule: long non-coding RNA, 1596 nt
Organism: Musa acuminata AAA Group (dessert banana)
Lineage: Eukaryota; Viridiplantae; Streptophyta; Magnoliopsida; Zingiberales; Musaceae
Exons: 6
Source: RefSeq, a predicted model, not a curated record
GCGUGGGGGAAAGUGGAAACUUCCGAGCAUCUCCUCUCGUCUUGGAUGUCGUUCAGCAUUAUUUCCACGUCUUCAUUUUAACGGGGCGGCAAGCAUGUGGUUCAACAUAUUGUCUUUGGAUCCAACCGUCCUAUCACAUAUCUGAUGAAUACUGAUGGCGAGAUAGAGAGUAUAAUUAUCGUGUAGGGUUUACUCGCGUCAUAGUAUAUCACAACCGUCAAUCUCUUGGCAGCCUUGCGACCAGACUAUCUUGGAGUGCUGAUAGCCAUGUCUCGAACAGCCCGUGUCUUUGCGGUCGGCACCCGACCCAAUUCGACAUGAUUCGAAGCCCAUUACGGCCCAUUUUUGUAUAUGGAAAGACGAAUGCCCAACUCGUGAGAACUGAAUCCACCCACUUAAGCAAGCUCGCUGACGUGUACGGCGUCCUCACAGAUCUGUCGAUCCUCUCACUAUAGCGAGCGCGCGCGCAGCCGUGUGAAUCGAUCAGCCGAUGGGGAUCUGCAGAAGGUGGAGGAGCCCUCUUUUCUUCUCCCUUCUCCCUCUCGUCCUCUUCCUUCCUCUGAUCCUCUCAGUCUCAAAAUUGCAUAGUAGUAAUCCGAUCCCACAAGUUUCGAAGAGAAGUCGCCACCAAUAAAUCAGAUCACCUCGUUCUCGGGCCUGCCGCUGGGCAGGGACUGCCCGACCGCCUCCAAUGCCAAGGCCUCAGUGCUGUCAAUAAGAUCCAUGCUUCAAGUUCACAACAGAACCUUCAAACUAGGGAUGACAUUUCGUUUGCAACAGAUUAUACAAUCUACAACAACUCCAUUAGAUCGGAUUCUUCUAGGAUACGUGAUGGUAACUGUUGCAAACAGUACGUAUAGCAAAGCUGAAAGGUCCAUUGGCAUUCUGAAUGUGCUCGUCGAUUUCAUUCAGAACUCUGCGGGUGUCAAUACCAAGAAGCAGCAUAAUUGUAUUGACUGAUCCUGCUUCUGACUUUACCAUAAACAGAAGUAACACAACAGUAUUACCAAUACUGGGAGAUUAUUCACAAGGAAAUUUGUUGCUUCAGAGAAUCAGCUCCUACAUUUGCAAAAAUCUUCUUAGAAGAAGUCCUCAACGUCUACAGCUUGAAAUUUAUGAAGGCCUCCCGCAUCCUUGGAGAUCAGUUGGCCCUUCCAUGGGUUGUUGAGUCUCAUCUUCCAUUUUCUCUGAGGAAGUGCACCAUGCAUGAAGCCUUUUCUGGUGAAAUAAAUGGCGUUUAUAAUUGGACCCCACCAGAAGGCGCUGGGCAGUUUCAUGGCAUGCCCUUGGAUGUACAGGUUAGUCACUUCAAAGGCUCAAGGAAGCGAUUGAUGUUGCCGUCUUGAUAUGCUGUGUCUCAUUUUGAGGAGCGGAAGAACAAAAUAUGAUAUUUGAAAUCUGGUUUCCUACGCACACUAAUGCUAUUAUGUAAUUGGAUUUUGUAAAAUUAAAUUUCUUUCUUUCUUUCUCAAUCCCUGCAUUUUGAGAGGACAAUUGUUGGUCAAAACUGGGGAGAUCUUGAUUUCAUGUACUAAUAUUGAAAUAUGUUCUUUUGUCAUGAUGCCCAUCUGAAAAAUGACGACAAAGUAUUCAUUA